Ictidomys tridecemlineatus (thirteen-lined ground squirrel) is the source of this 973-nucleotide long non-coding RNA. RefSeq lists it as uncharacterized. NCBI's taxonomy places the organism in Eukaryota, Metazoa, Chordata, Mammalia, Rodentia, Sciuridae. The record is from RefSeq and is a predicted model, not a curated record.
AACUCUUGCCGGGGUCGCGCCCUCCAAUGGGAAGAGAGCAGGCGCCGGCGGAACUGGAAGGGGCGGGGAAUGGAUGAAGCCCCUCCUACUGAAGAAUCCGACUGGCCAUCGGCUCCCGCGGAAAUCAAGGCCUUCUCCUGAGGCUCCUCCCCCCCUCCCUGCCAAGCCUGCUGCAAUAACUUCCGGAGACCGAGUGCAGGGGAUGGAAGCCUGGGCCUGAAGCAUGCUAGACAAUUGCUUUACCACCAAGGUACACAGUCAGCUCUCAUGCUGUUUUGAAUCAGUGGCUGGAUUCUAAUUCCCAUGGAACUAUUCAGAACUCUGGAAUAAGGUCAUGGCUACAGCUACGUACUUGGCUUCAAGAGAAUGAUAAAGACUUCAGUUUAAGGGUGGUUGUUAAGGUUUGGGAUCAGUGAUUCUUACCUCUUGGGCUGCACAUUAAAAUCUCCUGGGAGUUUAAAAAAAAAUUCUAAUGUAUAAUCCAUCCCCCAGUCUCUAUUGGAAUUUCUGGGAAUAGGGUGGCAUUCAGUUGUUCUAUGUAUUGUUAAUGUACUGCUUAGGUUGAGAAGCACUGCAACCUGACUUCUCGAAGUCCAUGCUAAAGACUCAUCAUCUUUGACAGGUUAAAUAAGAGAAUGUGUCCUGGACCAAACAAAUGUUCAACAAUAGGGGAAUGGAUAAGUAAACAGAAAGGUCACUGGGUGGAAUGCUAGAGACAAAUAACAACACCUUCAAAAAAUUAAGGUUGGAGCAGAAAAUGAUAAGUAAAAAAAGCAGGUUAAAAAUAUGCAUAUACUUUUCAGGAACAAAGAAAGACAUCAGCAGAUGUAUUGACUGAUCUUUGUUACAUUUAACUGGUAUGAUUCACCACCAUUUGUUAGGUAUGAAUAUGCAUCAUCUGUCUUCUGUAAGCUGGAAGAAAAAUACUGUUCUGAAUUUCCUGACUUAAUCCUAAAGAACAUUUUACUUUAAA